AAUAUUGGACAAUGGGGGGAACCCUGAUCCAGCCAUGCCGCGUGUGUGAAGAAGGCCUUCUGGUUGUAAAGCACUUUAAGCGGGGAGGAAGGGCUUUUGGCUAAUACCCUAAAGUCUUGACCGUUCCUCCCGGAUUAACACCGGCUAACCUCGUUGCAACAAGCCGCGGUAAUACAGAGGGUGCAAGCGUUAAUCGGAUUUACUGGGCGUAAAGCGCGCGUAGGUGGUUAAGUAAGAUAAGUGUGAAAUCCCCGGGCUUAACCUGGGAACUGCAUUCAUUACUGGUGGGCUAGAGUACGGUAGAGGAUAGUAGAAUUUCCUGUGUAGCGGUGAAAUGCGUAGAUAUAGGAAGGAACACCAGUGGCGAAGGCGACUACCUGGACUAAUACUGACACUGAGGUGCGAAAGCGUGGGGAGCAAAC
This 422-nucleotide ribosomal RNA is filed under the name uncultured bacterium. RNAcentral's name for it is "partial 16S ribosomal RNA". It matches the Rfam family "Bacterial small subunit ribosomal RNA", at positions 360 to 773 of the family's 1533-position model. The record is from RNAcentral.